This 302-nucleotide ribosomal RNA is filed under the name uncultured bacterium. RNAcentral's name for it is "partial 16S ribosomal RNA". It matches the Rfam family "Bacterial small subunit ribosomal RNA", at positions 508 to 809 of the family's 1533-position model. The record is from RNAcentral.
GCAGUAGCCGCGGUAAUACAGAGGGUGCAAGCGUUAAUCGGAUUUACUGGGCGUAAAGGGCGCGUAGGUGGUUAUUUAAGUGAGAUGUGAAAGCCCCGGGCUUAACCUGGGAACUGCAUCUUAUACUGGGUAACUGGAGUGCAGUAGAGGGUAGUGGAAUUUCCGGUGUAGCGGUGAAAUGCGUAGAUAUCGGAAGGAACACCAGUGGCGAAGGCGGCUACCUGGACUGAGACUGACACUGAGGCGCGAGAGCGUGGGGAGCAAACAGGAUUAGAGACCCCUGUAGUCCCUGUCUCUUAUAA